AUUGAACGCUGGCGGCAUGCUUUACACAUGCAAGUCGAACGGCAGCGCGGGCUUCGGCCUGGCGGCGAGUGGCGAACGGGUGAGUAAUGCAUCGGAACGUGCCCAGUAGUGGGGGAUAGCCCGGCGAAAGCCGGAUUAAUACCGCAUACGACCUGAGGGUGAAAGCGGGGGACCGAAGGGCCUCGCGCUAUUGGAGCGGCCGAUGUCGGAUUAGCUAGUUGGUGGGGUAAAGGCUUACCAAGGCGACGAUCCGUAGCUGGUCUGAGAGGACGACCAGCCACACUGGGACUGAGACACGGCCCAGACUCCUACGGGAGGCAGCAGUGGGGAAUUUUGGACAAAGGGGGCAACCCUGAUCCAGCCAUGCCGCGUGCGGGAAGAAGGCCUUCGGGUUGUAAACCGCUUUUGUUCGGGAAGAAAUCCUCUGGGCUAAUACCCCGGGGGGAUGACGGUACCGGAAGAAUAAGCACCGGCUAACUACGU
This 483-nucleotide ribosomal RNA is filed under the name uncultured bacterium. RNAcentral's name for it is "partial 16S ribosomal RNA". It matches the Rfam family "Bacterial small subunit ribosomal RNA", at positions 28 to 506 of the family's 1533-position model. The record is from RNAcentral.